This 459-nucleotide ribosomal RNA is filed under the name uncultured bacterium. Its description in RNAcentral is "bacterial SSU rRNA". It matches the Rfam family "Bacterial small subunit ribosomal RNA", at positions 343 to 793 of the family's 1533-position model. The record is from RNAcentral.
GGGAGGCAGCAGUGGGGGAAUAUUGCACAAUGGGCGCAAGCCUGAUGCAGCCAUGCCGCGUGUGUGAAGAAGGCCUUCGGGUUGUAAAGCACUUUCAGUCGUGAGGAAGGUAGUGUAGUUAAUAGCUGCAUUAUUUGACGUUAGCGACAGAAGAAGCACCGGCUAACUCCGUGCCAGCAGCCGCGGUAAUACGGAGGGUGCGAGCGUUAAUCGGAAUUACUGGGCGUAAAGCGCAUGCAGGUGGUUUGUUAAGUCAGAUGUGAAAGCCCCGGGGCUCAACCUCGGAAUAGCAUUUGAAACUGGCAGACUAGAGUACUGUAGAGGGGGUAGAAUUUCAGGUGUAGCGGUGAAAUGCGUAGAGAUCUGAAGGAAUACCGGUGGCGAAGGCGGCCCCCUGGACAGAUACUGACACUCAGAUGCGAAAGCGUGGGGAGCAAACAGGAUUAGAUACCCUGGUAG